RNAcentral lists this unclassified non-coding RNA (203 nucleotides) under soil metagenome. RNAcentral describes it as "partial contains 5.8S ribosomal RNA, internal transcribed spacer 2, and large subunit ribosomal RNA". The record is from RNAcentral.
AACGCACGAGACCUGCGGACCUGCGGAAGGAUCAUUACCGAGUUUACAACUCCCAAACCCCUGUGAACAUACCACUCGUUGCCUCGGCGGAUCACCGCGCCCCGUGAAACGGGCCGGCCCGCCAGAGGACCUAAACUCAAAUGUUUUAUUGUAUCUUCUGAGUAAAAACACAAAUAAAUCAAAACUUUUAACAACGGAUCUCU